GACAGAGGGUGCAAACGUUGUUCGGAUUUACUGGGCGUAAAGCGCGUGUAGGCGGCUUCGUAAGUUGGAUGUGAAAUCCCACGGCUCAACCGUGGACGUGCAUCCAAAACUACGUCGCUGGAGUCUCGGAGAGGAAGGUGGAAUGCUUGGUGUAGAGGUGAAAUUCGUAGAUAUCAAGCAGAACACCUGCGGCGAAGGCGGCCUUCUGGACGAUGACUGACGCUGAGACGCGAAAGCGUGGGUAGCGAACAGG
This 253-nucleotide ribosomal RNA is filed under the name uncultured bacterium. RNAcentral describes it as "partial 16S ribosomal RNA". It matches the Rfam family "Bacterial small subunit ribosomal RNA", at positions 524 to 776 of the family's 1533-position model. The record is from RNAcentral.